GUGCCACAGCCGCGGUAAUACGUAGGGGGCAAGCGUUAUCCGGAAUCACUGGGCGUAAAGGGUGCGUAGGCGGCCGAUAAAGUCCGGGGUGAAAGGCUACGGCUCAACCGUAGUAAGCCUUGGAAACUUAUUGGCUUGAGUGCAGGAGAGGUAAGUGGAAUUCCUAGUGUAGCGGUGAAAUGCGUAGAUAUUAGGAGGAACACCAGUGGCGAAGGCGACUUACUGGACUGUAACUGACGCUGAGGCACGAAAGCGUGGGGAGCGAACAGGAUUAGAUACCCUGGUAGUCCACGCCGUAAACGAUGAGUGCUAGGUGUCGGAGCCGACAGGCUUCGGUGCCGCAGCUAACGCAUUAAGCACUCCGCCUGGGGAGUACGCUCGCAAGAGUGAAACUCAAAUGAAUUGACGG
RNAcentral lists this ribosomal RNA (409 nucleotides) under uncultured bacterium. RNAcentral describes it as "bacterial SSU rRNA". It matches the Rfam family "Bacterial small subunit ribosomal RNA", at positions 505 to 916 of the family's 1533-position model. The record is from RNAcentral.